AUUGAACGCUAGCGGGAUGCCUUACACNUGNANGUCGAACGGCAGCACGGACUUCGGUCUGGUGGCGAGUGGCGAACGGGUGAGUAAUGUAUCGGAACGUGCCUAGUAGCGGGGGAUAACUACGCGAAAGCGUAGCUAAUACCGCAUACGCCCUACGGGGGAAAGCAGGGGAUCGCAAGACCUUGCACU
Molecule: ribosomal RNA, 189 nt
Filed under: uncultured Alcaligenaceae bacterium
Lineage: Bacteria; Pseudomonadati; Pseudomonadota; Betaproteobacteria; Burkholderiales; Alcaligenaceae
Description: partial 16S ribosomal RNA
Rfam family: Bacterial small subunit ribosomal RNA
Source: RNAcentral